Long non-coding RNA from Tympanuchus pallidicinctus (lesser prairie-chicken), 1626 nucleotides. RefSeq lists it as uncharacterized. Lineage: Eukaryota; Metazoa; Chordata; Aves; Galliformes; Phasianidae. The transcript is spliced from 3 exons. The record is from RefSeq and is a predicted model, not a curated record.
CACUAUGUUAUGAGAAAGCUGCACGUGCUGAGAUGAACUGAUAAGUGCCAGCCUGCAGCUAGCAGUGAACUGUACAGCAACAACAGAAGCAUCAAUGGCUGCUGGAGCUAUGUGGGAGGAAUCUGCAUUUCUGACCAAGAUGUGUUCUUGCCUGGGCAGAAAAAUCUCGCUGAACGAUCACAAGCUGUGUCUGAUGCCCUGAAGCGGGACAAGGAGAAGUUUGGGUAAGGACCGGCUCACACACUGUACGGUCUGUGCUCCUCAUGGAAUACCCAGGGAUUUGGAGGCACCAAUGGGCUCUGCAGAAGCCUACACAAAGGUAGCUCAGGGGGAAGGCUGGGAAGGAGGAAUUCAGGCUGUCCUCUCAGGGAAUUUUGCACCUUGCUCUGAGCCAGGCGCACAGCAAAGUAGCUCUGGGGGGCUGGCACCAUGUCAGGGCAGAAACUUCUGACCCACAAAAAAAAAAGAAAAAAAAAAAAGAAAGGAGGAAAUCCUCAAUUUUUCCCAUUUUCCAAUACAUGUAGGACACUUAGGCCAGAUGUUACCAGUUUGCUUUUUUCAAGGAGAGGUGGGGUUGAAGUGGCUGUGUUUAGCCUGGCACAGCUUAGUGCCAGGGGGAGGAUGCUGGUGGAAAUGACCAAGGCAUGCACAUGUUCCCAUGGGGAACAGGUGUGGAUUUUUGUCUGUGGUGGAGCUGAAAGCAUUGUGUUGUAAGCAUACAAAUGUAUGAUUGCUCUGCUAUGGUCUUAGCCUCAGUUGUGAAAAUCAUCUGCUGGUUUUCUGCAAUUGAGUGAAUGCAGUUCCAAAUACUGCCACAGGAAAACAGAAAAGCCACAGCUGGAAACCAGACUGUAGAAAUGGUCAUUUUGGUGGGGAUGCUGGCUAAGGAUCUCAACCUGGGUCUAUGAACAACGGUUACCACUUAGAAAUGGAAUUGUGCAGGUUGCAAAAAUAAAGAACUGAUCUAUGGGAAUGCUGCAAGCAUUGGGAUGUGAAUGCCAGUGGAGCAGCCUCAGUGCAGGGCCACGAGCACCACGAAACCCGUUCUUUGGUGCGGAAAUGCUGGGGGAGAGGGCUGGGAAUCACCUCUCCACCACGUUCCCUCGAUGUACGAAGCACCCAGGCAAUUGCAGGAGCACGACCAGUGGUGUUGUGUGGGGGAUUCUGACAGCCCUCUCCUAGAUGAUACGCAACACGUCAGCCCAACGCCAGCUACUUCGCCGAGGGUGCAGGGGCUUGUAUGGCUCCGAACCUAUGAAUUUCGGCUGCUAGCUGCAUCCUGUACCCCAGGACCGCUCCUAGGCGUUGCUCGCCGGCUUUCCUUUUGUCUCCUAGCGGUCUGACAGCUCACCAUUCCCAUCCACGGCGAUUUGGGGGAGGGGAGCCGUGCCACUGCUGCGGCCGCUCGACGAAUCGCUCGGGUUGGGCUCAGAAAAGCCCACGAAACACCCUUUCGGUGCCGGCCGGGACUCGCGGGGCUCUCCGGCACCGGACAGCACCGCCGCUGUCGGUGCCGGGCGUUUCAAACAGCCAUCUGUCCCGGGGCACGCGUGACGCCGGCUCUGUCUAUAGGCGGAGGCUCUCCCAGCCGCGCCUCACGCCCGCUCCGGAGUCCCCCCAAGCUCC